This 570-nucleotide small RNA is filed under the name Arabidopsis thaliana (thale cress). Its description in RNAcentral is "ATSL208520". The record is from RNAcentral. Lineage: Eukaryota; Viridiplantae; Streptophyta; Magnoliopsida; Brassicales; Brassicaceae.
AGAUAUUCUCCAAAUAUACUAUCUACUUUACCACCAUUAUUUUGCCAACAAAAUAAUUUAUCAAAAGAAGUAGUCCACAAGCUUUAGCCCACAAAGGAAAUUAGGUUCAUAAAUAUAUUCUUAGCAAGAGAAUCUGCUAGCCCAUUAGAGAAUUAACAUUUUUAGUGUAACGCUAUGACCGUUGGAUACCAGUGGGCCCCAUGUCUUCUUUCGAGCCCAUGGGCCCACUCUUGUCCAACGGUCGGUACGCUACGUCUGGAAGACUUUAAAAACUUGUUACCGGCCCUACAAAUCACCACAUGAUCUUUUGCCAUGUUUUGUCCUCACUCGCAUAGUUCCUACAAUCAUUUCUCGGAAGAUCACACAUCCUGAAACCACUACAAAAAAAGUCUUCAUCGUUAGCACAAACCAUCUGCUAUCGUAUGUAAUACACAGCGAAUUCACAAAUGCUAUGUUUGCGGCAGCUAUAGUAGGUGUCACCCCUUUGACAACAUCGUUUUGUACGCUAUGGUAUAUGUUGUUACGAUAUCAACGAUAUAACGCCAUUAUAGAGUUUUGAUAUAGCACUUU